RNAcentral lists this unclassified non-coding RNA (250 nucleotides) under plant metagenome. RNAcentral's name for it is "partial contains small subunit ribosomal RNA, internal transcribed spacer 1, and 5.8S ribosomal RNA". The record is from RNAcentral.
GUAGGUGAACCUGCGGAAGGAUCAUUAACGAGUUAGGGUCUUCCAGGCCCGACCUCCCAACCCUAUGUUUAUUGAACCUCUGUUGCUUCGGCGGACCCGUCUCACGGCCGCCGGAGGACCGCUGAAAGGCGUCCUCUGGCCCGCGUCCGCCGAUGGCCAACCACUCAAACUCUGAAUCAAUCGUGUCAUAUGCCUGAGUCUAUGAUUAAAUUAAAGCAAAACUUUCAACAACGGAUCUCUUGGUUCUGGC